CCAAUAGCGUAUAUUAAAGUUGUUGCAGUUAAAAAGCUCGUAGUUGAAUUUCGGGAUUGACGUGAUGGUCAUGCCUUAAGGGGUAUGAACUGUUGCUGUUGAUUUCUCACCUUCUGGAGAAACUUGAUGUCCUUUAUUGGGUGUCUUGCGGAUCCAGGACCUUUACCUUGAAAAAAUUAGAGUGUUUAAAGCAGGCAUUUUUGCUCGAAUACAUUAGCAUGGAAUAAUAGAAUAGGACGGCAUGGUUCUAUUUUGUUGGUUUCUAGGAUCACCGUAAUGAUUAAUAGGGAUAGUUGGGGGCAGUAGUAUUCAAUUGUCAGAGGUGAAAUUCUUGGAUUUAUUGAAGACUAACUACUGCGAAAGCAUUUGCCAAGGAUGUUUUCAUUAAUCAAGAACGAAAGUUAGGGGAUCGAAGACGAUCAGAUACCGUCGUAGUCUUAACCAUAAACUAUGCCGACUAGGAAUCAGACGAUGUUAAUUUUUUAAUGACUCGUUUGGCACCUUACG
RNAcentral lists this unclassified non-coding RNA (507 nucleotides) under uncultured Entrophospora. Its description in RNAcentral is "SSU rRNA". It matches the Rfam family "Eukaryotic small subunit ribosomal RNA", at positions 591 to 1092 of the family's 1831-position model. Lineage: Eukaryota; Fungi; Glomeromycota; Glomeromycetes; Entrophosporales; Entrophosporaceae. The record is from RNAcentral.